Sus scrofa (pig) is the source of this 73-nucleotide non-coding RNA. Lineage: Eukaryota; Metazoa; Chordata; Mammalia; Artiodactyla; Suidae. The record is from Rfam.
UCCCUGGUGGUCUAGUGGUUAAGGAUCUGGCAUUAUCAUUGCUAUGGUGUGGGUUUAAUCCCUGGCCUGGGAA